GUCUGAAACUUGGCAUGGAAAGUUCUUUUUAGGGAAAUAGAAGCUACGUACUCCAUCGAGGAAGCCUCCUACUCCUACCACGCCCCUGCCGAAGAAGAUUCCAGCUCUGAGGCCCUUCGGCUUAUCCAUGGACCGGUUCAACAGGCUCGCCACCAUGCGGGAUUUCUCCGUGGUCUCGGAGCUCGCCGCCUUCGGCAGCUGCUUGCGGAAGGUGACGCUGAUCGAAGUUCCAGUCCAAGAUAGGAGCACAACUGCUUCCCUGUCAAGCUCGCCAAGUUCAUCGUGAAGCUUUCGGGUGUACAAGUGGGGAGACGUGCUGGUUACCUAGUUUGGUACGUUGGUAGGUUGGUCCGUCCGACCAACGUCCCUCCCCUCCACGCGCACUGGAGCAAAUCACGCGCUGGAGCAAACUACUACUUAAUCGUGUAGAGUUAAGGAAACCAAGAGAUUGAAAACUUCCAUCUUUACAACCAAUCAAUGGAAACAUCAAUCAAUCACGUCAUUCUCUCGCGAUUACACCCAAUCCCCAGAAAACCUCCAUCUUUACAACCAAUCUCCACUGCCGCGAUUACACCCCAUCCCCAGAAAAGCUCAAACCUGCCUUCUUCCUCGCGGGAAGCCAUCGCCAGGGCUGCUAAUUGCCAGAAAAAACAUCGUACACCAAGUUACCAGAGCUGCCGCUUUUACUUCCAGACCGUUGAUUAUCUCCAGAGCUGCCACGUACACCAAAAAACGUCACCAGAGCUGCUGCGAUUACCUCCAGAGAGUUUGGUGUACUGCCUUCUUUCUCAAGACCCCGAGCAGUGCCGCUCGCCCUUGUUCCCUCCAGGCGUCGACGACCUGGCCACAUCAAUCAACUGACGGUAUUUAAAGCACUGGGACAAGGUUCGGUACACCAUGUCUAAUCAACCACGAAGGCGUCCUACUAAAUCGCAGUCGGAAAACGAAAAUUCAGGUUUCAAAGCUAUACAAAUUUUUAUUUCUCAUUUAAAUGGGUUACUGUUUGUAUGACAAAGGCAGAAUUAUCAUUUUGCUCUUAACAGAAAACUGCAAGUCAGUUUUUAUCUAUCAGCACAUCAAUGAAACUGUGAAAGCUAUGAGACAAUGGCAAAAUUAUCUUACUGCUCUUAACAUG
Long non-coding RNA from Brachypodium distachyon (stiff brome), 1135 nucleotides. RefSeq lists it as uncharacterized. The transcript is spliced from 3 exons. Lineage: Eukaryota; Viridiplantae; Streptophyta; Magnoliopsida; Poales; Poaceae. The record is from RefSeq and is a predicted model, not a curated record.